AAAGUUUUAAGUUAAAUUAAACUAAUAAUCUUCAAAAUUAUAAAUAAAUUAAUAAUUAUUUAAACUUUA
This 69-nucleotide transfer RNA is filed under the name Ernodes articularis. Its description in RNAcentral is "tRNA-Trp". The record is from RNAcentral. Lineage: Eukaryota; Metazoa; Arthropoda; Insecta; Trichoptera; Beraeidae.